GGGAGAGGAGAGGGAGAGGAGAGGGAGAGGAGAGGAGAGGAGAGAAAAAGAAAAAACCCUAACCAACACAGGUGGGACUGGGCACUGGACUAGACUGAGAGCAACACAAUGGCACAAAACUCAUUUUAUAGAACUUAAAGGGAAAUAGAGAAUACUGUUUUGAGAUUGGUAAAAACAGACUCAGCUAGCCUAAAAGUGUAGAGGUAGAGUAAAGAGAGAAUACAACAAUGAGGCACCAGGCUGGAAAUGCACAUAGACAAACAAGAGUGAAGGGUUUGCACAGCAAGUAGAGAGGGGGAUGUCUUUAAAUAUGUUGUGGAAGCAUAUUCAGUGGAAAAGUACACUAGAGUGGUCUGCACUAUAAAAGAGGUUGCCAGCUCCAGCUGUUGCUAAGGGAACCACUGCAAUCAUUUAGAGCAGCUAGGAAGCAAUUUAGAAGGGGUAAGAGGUUUUGAAAAUAGAGCAGAGAGAAACCUUCUGCUGAAUGGAAUAUAUAGUCUCCAGAUAUGGGCUUUCCAGAGACACAGCAUGGCCUGAUGUUACAGCCACACCUGUCAGGCUGUGUGGCAGAGGGGAUUUGUCAGAUGUAAUGGAGGUUAUCAGCUAUGCUUAAACUAUGGAGAUGAUUUUUGGUUGCCUGGUAAGUAGUAAGUGGGAACAAAAGAGGAUAUCAUAGACUUUAGAUGUGGGAGAAGACUCACUCAGUUCACAGUUGCUGACUGAGAAUGGAAAGAGGUAUCUGGAAUGGCUGAAGGACCACUCCCAGGCAGCAGUUGGCAAGGAAGCAGAGACUGAAAUCUUACAACCUGAAGAACUGACUACUCAGAUACUCUGAGUGACUCUGGAAGCAGACUCCCCCAAGCCUUCAGAUCAGAAUCCAGCCAGCAACACCCUAACUGCAGCUUUGUGAGUCCAGAACCGAAGGAACCCAUUUAAUACAGGCUGCACUCAUGACUUGGGACAAGUGGAAAUUACUAAAUAGGUGUUGAAUUAAGCUUCAAAGUUCACAGUGAUUGGCUAUGUCACGCUGGAUCAGGGCUAUCUUCAAAGAACAUGAAGUUCCUGCUCAGCAUAGCACAUUCUAUUCAGCCAGCCUCGAGCUAAGCAAAGAGCUUCAGAGCAUGACCUGGAUCUCUGAACAUUUUCAUACACUUACAGAAAUCAUUCUUGGACUCCAACUCAUAGGAUGGCAUGGCUCAUAUUCAGGCAGAACAUCCUCUUUCCUGUGUCUGCUUCACCUAAAAGUUCCUUCAAGAGUCUGCCUUAGGGCUGGUGAGAUGGCUCAGUGGGUAAGAGCACCCGACUGCUCUUCCGAAGGUCCAGAGUUCAAAUCCCAGCAACCACAUGGUGGCUCACAACCAUCUGUAACAAGAUCUGACUCCCUCUUCUGGUGUGUCUGAAGACAGCUACAAUGUACUUACAUAUAAUAAUAAAUAAAUCUUUAAAAAAAAAAAAAA
Long non-coding RNA from Mus musculus (house mouse), 1457 nucleotides. RefSeq annotates it as predicted gene, 32150. Lineage: Eukaryota; Metazoa; Chordata; Mammalia; Rodentia; Muridae. The transcript has 4 exons. The record is from RefSeq and is a predicted model, not a curated record.